This 836-nucleotide ribosomal RNA is filed under the name Aerococcus sp. I79-CRBM-T3P21. RNAcentral describes it as "bacterial SSU rRNA". It matches the Rfam family "Bacterial small subunit ribosomal RNA", at positions 56 to 874 of the family's 1533-position model. The record is from RNAcentral. Lineage: Bacteria; Bacillati; Bacillota; Bacilli; Lactobacillales; Aerococcaceae.
UGCAGUCGAGCGAACAGAUGAAGUGCUUGCACUUCUGACGUUAGCGGCGAACGGGUGAGUAACACGUAAGGAAUCUACCUAUAAGCGGGGGAUAACAUUCGGAAACGGGUGCUAAUACCGCAUAAUAUCUUCUUCCGCAUGGAAGAAGAUUGAAAGACGGCUCUGCUGUCACUUAUAGAUGACCUUGCGGUGCAUUAGUUAGUUGGUGGGGUAACGGCCUACCAAGACGAUGAUGCAUAGCCGACCUGAGAGGGUGAUCGGCCACAUUGGGACUGAGACACGGCCCAAACUCCUACGGGAGGCAGCAGUAGGGAAUCUUCCGCAAUGGGCGAAAGCCUGACGGAGCAAUGCCGCGUGAGUGAAGAAGGCCUUCGGGUCGUAAAACUCUGUUAUAAGAGAAGAACAAAUUGUAGAGUAACUGCUACAGUCUUGACGGUAUCUUAUCAGAAAGCCACGGCUAACUACGUGCCAGCAGCCGCGGUAAUACGUAGGUGGCAAGCGUUGUCCGGAUUUAUUGGGCGUAAAGGGAGCGCAGGUGGUUUCUUAAGUCUGAUGUGAAAGCCCACGGCUUAACCGUGGAGGGUCAUUGGAAACUGGGAAACUUGAGUACAGAAGAGGAAUGUGGAACUCCAUGUGUAGCGGUGGAAUGCGUAGAUAUAUGGAAGAACACCAGUGGCGAAGGCGACAUUCUGGUCUGUUACUGACACUGAGGCUCGAAAGCGUGGGGAGCAAACAGGAUUAGAUACCCUGGUAGUCCACGCCGUAAACGAUGAGUGCUAGGUGUUGGAGGGUUUCCGCCCUUCAGUGCCGCAGUUAACGCAUUAAGCACUCCGCCU